UACGGAGGGUGCGAGCGUUGUCCGGAAUCACUGGGCGUAAAGGGCGCGUAGGUGGCGUCGCAAGUCAACGGUGAAAGCUCGACGCUCAACGUCGAGUCGGCCGUCGAGACUGCGAGGCUUGAGCACUGUAGAGGCAGAUGGAAUUCCGGGUGUAGCGGUGGAAUGCGUAGAGAUCCGGAAGAACACCGGUGGCGAAGGCGGUCUGCUGGGCCAAGACUGACGCUGAGGCGCGACAGCGUGGGGAGCAAACAGG
RNAcentral lists this ribosomal RNA (253 nucleotides) under uncultured bacterium. RNAcentral's name for it is "partial 16S ribosomal RNA". It matches the Rfam family "Bacterial small subunit ribosomal RNA", at positions 524 to 776 of the family's 1533-position model. The record is from RNAcentral.